This is a long non-coding RNA of Poecilia reticulata (guppy), 887 nucleotides long. RefSeq lists it as uncharacterized. Lineage: Eukaryota; Metazoa; Chordata; Actinopteri; Cyprinodontiformes; Poeciliidae. The record is from RefSeq and is a predicted model, not a curated record.
UAAACAUUACUGUUAGAUGCUAGAAGCUCAACAUAGCGUCUCAUCUUUUCUAAAUCACAGGCUGAUGUAAUCCACAGAAACGCCGUUGUUCAUGUUCUGAUUCCGGGUUGAGGUCCAGAGAACUGCAAGAAAGUAUUUAAGCUGGCAGAGCUCCUCUUUGUAUGUCUGAGGAGUUUACGUUCUUCUCUAUGGGGGUAAGUGCCACGUCUGAGCUGUGUACCCCAUGAUCCAGGCUUUACUCCCACUCAGCCCAGGCCUGCUCACCGUGGAAAGCCCACAGAGCUGUUCAGACUGAGUCAAUAGUUAGCAAGCGUGAUCUGUAAGUUUCAUCUAAUUAAAUCUACAUUUUCAUGUAUAAUUGUGUGCCUCUUCGAAGCCUCUGUAGGUUGAGUUAUUGUGUAGUUAUUGAAGAGAAAUAUGGAUGUUUAUGCUGUGUGUGUGUGUGUGCGUGUGUGAGAGAGAGAGAGAGUGCACUCUGCACACGGCUGCUGAAAAACCACCACGAUGCAUCCUGGAGAGCAUCAUUCAUCGCAGCUCUUCGCCACCUGCGUGGCCUCUGACAGCUCCCCUCCUUAUUAUGCUGAACAAUGAAAACUGCCACAACAAUAUAGCAGAAAUUUAUGCAAACAUAAAGCAAAAAACAACUGCGUCCUGUUUUGUUUGUGCAAUCCAGACAGCAAAAGUGUUAGACAGGUGCACGAGUCGCUGCACUGAAGAAAAAUGCUGUAUUUUAGUCAGAUCUCUAUUAUCUUUUCCUCUAUGCGCAAACAUCUCUAAAUGUGAAUCAAUAAUUAAACUUCAUCUGUUGAACUUACAACUACCUAUUAUAAGUAAACUUUUGGUGUCUAUUAUUUUUUAUUUUUGUAAUUGAUUUGGUGUUAGUUUUU